UUAGUUUAGCAAAAGAGCAUGAUUUAA
This 27-nucleotide non-coding RNA is filed under the name Oryctolagus cuniculus (rabbit). The record is from RNAcentral. RNAcentral also lists the same sequence under 2 other names. Lineage: Eukaryota; Metazoa; Chordata; Mammalia; Lagomorpha; Leporidae.